CAUGUUAAUUCAUACAAUAAAUCCACGACCCCCAUUGGACGUUCGUCAAUAUUUUCUGGCAAUAUUUUAAGAAAGAAAGAUCUAAAUAAUUUAUUUUUUGAGAAAUAUUUUGUCUUUGCCGGAGUCACUUGGGUCUUAAUGGGACAUGCAUCUUGUUGAGUUGGUGUUUGGAUUUCAUUAGAAUCUUUUGAGUCUGCAAGAAUUCUAUACCUACAUAUUUAUGAUGGAAAUACAAAUUUUGGAUCAAGACUGUCUUUUGUAUCUAUUCAAAUUUAUCUCCCUUUUCGAUAUAAUGAACCUGCAAAAGUCAUCAUCAAUAUUUAAUGAUGCUAUUGAAGUGCAUUACCGCAAAGUAAAGAAAAUUGAAUGUACCAUAAGAAAUGUUUCAUUGGAGAAAAUUAAUGAUGUUUUAGAGAAAACUGGACCAUAUUUGAUAUCAUUUAAAUUUACCGGAGGACUCAUGAUGCAAAAUGAGUACAAAAGAUCGUUAGUCAUAACCAUAUCUAUUAAGUGCAAACUUUUAAAAAGUCUUACUCUCAAUUAUGUUCCUUUGGAAAAAUGUGAUUUUAUGGUUUUAAUGAGUGUGUUUCAAAAUUUGGAAACAUUGAAUUUGGGAAAUUGUCAGAUUCGAGAUGCUGAUAUAAAGUGCUUUCUUUCUAAGAUACAAAAUUUAAAACAAUUAACAUUGAUGGGAAAUCCCUUGUUUACUGGAGAAUGUCUGGUCAGUUCAAGCAAUCUACAAAAGUUAGAUGAUGUUAUAUGCUCAAUUGUGAAGAAGUAGUCUCAGUGUUAAUUGAAAACAUUAAUCAAAUUGAAGAACUUUUUAUGGAGAAUUUGGGAGCAAGUGAAAUGAAUUUACCUUAUGACAAAUUCAACUCUUUACAAAUUUUUGAAAUUAAGGGAAAUCGUUUGUGUACUUAAUAAAAAUAUUGA
Long non-coding RNA from Culicoides brevitarsis, 933 nucleotides. RefSeq lists it as uncharacterized. The record is from RefSeq and is a predicted model, not a curated record. The transcript has 4 exons. NCBI's taxonomy places the organism in Eukaryota, Metazoa, Arthropoda, Insecta, Diptera, Ceratopogonidae.